Syzygium oleosum is the source of this 1715-nucleotide long non-coding RNA. RefSeq lists it as uncharacterized. The record is from RefSeq and is a predicted model, not a curated record. The transcript has 3 exons. Lineage: Eukaryota; Viridiplantae; Streptophyta; Magnoliopsida; Myrtales; Myrtaceae.
GGGGAAAACACAACAUUUAAAGACGUCCGUAUUGAAGAUAGAAAGUUCAUGAGAUAUUCGAAAGAUGAAUCGCCAAUCUUCCAUUCUUUCCCCACUUCCUUGGCAAAGAGAAACAGAACUCUGACGGAAGUGAAGAACUGUCAAGGUCUGACACAAAAAGAAUAUAUGCAGACUGCCCUUCAAGCAAGCAAACAAUAAAUUCCAAUCAUCCUAAGAGAUAAAAACAAGAAAAAAGAUGAGCAUCUCAUAUGAGUGACAGAGCAAAGCAGGAAGGGAGAUAGCCAUGGGAAAUGAUGGCAGAGACAAACUUCGCAGACUGAGCACGGGCUUUCAGAGUAUCCUUUUUGGACUUUGCCUCCUGUAUUUUGCUCUCCAAAAGCUACACAAAAAUGGAUUUCAUGGAAUGCAACUGUGACAAAAUCAGUAUCUCUAUAUGAAUAUACUCCUUGAGGAAAUAAUAUAAAAAGCAAAAAAGUACGGCCAACUUUCUCUUUAAAUAUCCAGAGGCCUAUACAUAACAAUAGCUUAAGUAAUUUUAAACAAUCAUUUUAACCUACUCAUUUGCUAGCAUAUAUUAAUUUAAGGGUACAAAAAGCUGACAUUUAUCUAGAAUCACCCAUGCUAUGAGUGCAUACAGCUAUUACGGAGUUGAUAUACAACUAGCUGGUGGCUAAAGUGCAGUACAAAUAACUACAAGCACAUCUUUUUCAUUACUCUUUUGAAAAACUGCUUGUGCUACCUAUGAAAGAAAGCAAUGAUUGAUCACAAGUAACACUGAACGGAGAAAUCGAGUUUAUUUCAUUACAUAUUGCACUGCUUUUGAUAAAAGGGCUCUAAAUGACCUUGUUCUCCAAUUUUUUUCUUUUCAAACCCACCUCCUUUUGAACUGUUGUUUCAAAGUUAGAAUAGAGAUACAAUUUUGUCAAAGGAGUCUUCCCAUCCCAAUGAUUACCAGAGGUCAUUUCUCACCUAAGACAAUUGGUGACUGAGUUACAAGUAUACUGCCGAAAUCUGCCUUCACUGCUCAUUUAGGGUUAAGUAACCUUGACAAGAUGAGAACUUGACAUACCCUGGUAUUUGAGACCAAAUUAUCAACCACAGUCUUCUGUUGAUCAUACUGUGCUUUUAAAGCACUGGCAUUGUCCUGAAAAAGAAAAUAUUGUGUUGAAAAAGAAAUUCGGCACCAUCUAUCAUAUUACUAAUACGUCGAAGAAAAGUACCGUUUCUAGAUCUAGCCAUAAGUAAAUAAAUAUCAUCUCAAGUUGCAUCAUAUGACUAUUCAGGACCAAAAAAUAAAAAUAAGAGGGACUAUGCAUGUUUUCAAUGAAAACUAAUGAUGGCAAUAAAUAUGAAAUUAUUGAGACUAAAAGAAAAAGGAUGUAUCCAUACACAUCUCAUGGUAAUGAAUUCAGUUAUAAAAGUAAAAGGUAAGAUUGCAAUAAGGUAAAUGUUUGACCAUGUUGAGAAACCUAACCGUUGAACUCUAUCAAUAUCUGUAGCUAUCAAACAAAAUUAACAAGAAAUAUUUGAAGAAAAAUUAGACUGGUUUGAAUGAAUUGUGAUGUGUACAUAGGACAGACCUUUUACGUAAUAGACAGAAAAUUAGAACUUCACCUAAUAUGUAGCAAAAGAAGGACUUCAUGAGAGUCAAAUCUGAAGCACUUUAGAAGAAAAUAAAAAAGAAUUAAUUAUGUGCAUUCAUUGUUCUUUUCUUG